UACGAAGGAUUCGAGCGUUAUCCGGAUUUAUUGGGUUUAAAGGGUGCGUAGGUGGACUAAUAAGUCAGUGGUGAAAGCCCGCAGCUUAACUGCGGAACUGCCAUUGAUACUGUUAGUCUUGAGUACAGUUGAGGUGGGCGGAAUGUGUCAUGUAGCGGUGAAAUGCUUAGAUAUGACACAGAACACCAAUUGCGAAGGCAGCUCACUAAGCUGUAACUGACACUGAGGCACGAAAGCGUGGGGAGCAAACAGG
Molecule: ribosomal RNA, 253 nt
Filed under: uncultured bacterium
Lineage: Bacteria
Description: partial 16S ribosomal RNA
Rfam family: Bacterial small subunit ribosomal RNA
Source: RNAcentral